This 548-nucleotide long non-coding RNA is filed under the name Gallus gallus (chicken). The record is from RNAcentral. Lineage: Eukaryota; Metazoa; Chordata; Aves; Galliformes; Phasianidae.
GUAAUUCUAUAAAGAAUUUCUAAAGUCUCCCUUUUGAUAAUGGGAUCAGGAUGGUCCAGACAUUCAAUUAUUGUCAUCUGGUGCUCAAGUGCCAGAUUAGGAUCCUGCUGAAUAACACAGGUCAGAGCCUUUAAACCUAAGUAUUUCAAAUUAAUUUGGGGUGACAAAACAAAUUUUCCAAUGCACUUGGCAGCCUUUUCAAGUAAUUCAGAUUUGGGGUAAAUUGUAUAAAUUGUUUGGACACAUUCAAACAAGAUGGCAUAGGUAAUAUUAUGAUUUAUCUCUGCUCUUCUUAAAGAUUCCUCCAGAACAUCAUACAUCAGCUCACUGGUCCUUGGAUCAUCUUUUCCUAACAGCCCCAGUAUUCUUAAAAGCUGAAUUUGUAACCAUGGUGCUGGCACGCUGUGAUAAUUGAAGUCAAUAGGGAGCUUCCCUCCCACUACCUGCUUUAGGAUGAUUACAAAACUCUCCGUCAAGUCUUUAUACCCAGACGAGUUUUCCUUAAUCAUUUCAAGAUAAAUAUGCAAAGAAGCAGCCAUGACUCCAAC